Molecule: ribosomal RNA, 253 nt
Filed under: uncultured bacterium
Lineage: Bacteria
Description: partial 16S ribosomal RNA
Rfam family: Bacterial small subunit ribosomal RNA
Source: RNAcentral
UACGUAGGUGGCAAGCGUUGUCCGGAUUUACUGGGCGUAAAGAGCGCGCAGGCGGCUGGCCAAGUCCGAUGUGAAAGCUUCCGGCUUAACUGGAAAAUUGCAUCGGAAACUGCUCGGCUUGAAGGUGGGAGAGGGUAGCGGAAUUCCCGGUGUAGUGGUGAAAUGCGUAGAUAUCGGGAGGAACACCAGUGGCGAAGGCGGCUACCUGGCCCGCUCUUGACGCUGAGGCGCGAAAGCUAGGGGAGCAAACGGG